AUUGAACGCUGGCGGUAUGCUUAAGACAUGCAAGUCGAACGGAAUCUUCGGAUUCAGUGGCGGACGGGUGAGUAGCACGUGGGAAUCUACUGAGUAGUGGGGGACAGCCCGGCGAAAAGCCGGAUUAAUACCGCAUACGCCCUACGGGGAAAGGCGCAAGCCGCUAUUUAAUGAGCCCGCGUAAGAUUAGCUAGUUGGUAAGGUAAAGGCUUACCAAGGCGACGAUCUUUAGCUGGUCUGAGAGGAUGGCCAGCCACAUCGGGACUGAGACACGGCCCGGACUCCUACGGGAGGCAGCAGUCGGGAAUAUUGGACAAUGGGCGCAAGCCUGAUCCAGCAAUACCGCGUGUGUGAAGAAGGCCUGCGGGUUGUAAAGCACUUUCAGUUGAGAAGAUAAUGACGUUACCAACAGAAGAAGCACCGGCUAACUCCGUGCCAGCAGCCGCGGUAAU
RNAcentral lists this ribosomal RNA (452 nucleotides) under uncultured bacterium. Its description in RNAcentral is "bacterial SSU rRNA". It matches the Rfam family "Bacterial small subunit ribosomal RNA", at positions 30 to 524 of the family's 1533-position model. The record is from RNAcentral.